AAUCAAGCUCACAAGUACAUCAGAUCCAUUUACAAGAGUGCCCACUCCAAAAGUGAUGUUACCUCUGGGCUUGCCAUCAGGAAUACUUAUUUGAAACUGCAACAGCACAACCAAAAUUUUAUACUCACUCCUUUAAAAAGAUUCCUAUUUACAUCAAAGAAUCCACCGCAAUUUAUAUUCGAAGGAUUCAUUUCGGUAGCCCGUAAGAACAUAUUGAUUUCUGUUUGUGCAUCAGAAUUCAUCCAGCUCAAUUCCACCAUAAGUAGCUUCUUUUGAAAAUUAGUUCUUACAUUGUGUGAAGCAUAAUGAGCUUCAUCACAAAUAAAGAAUAACAAACAGAUGCUCCAAAUAGCUGUUAUAGCUAAGCCAAUGUCUUUUAUUCCAAAACCCUCUGAUAGCUGAGACAUAAGGCCAUAAAUAGAUAAAGUGAUAAUAAAGAACAAAUAGAGAUUCAAGAAUGUAAAAGUGUAACAAGUUGCUGUUCCAGUAUCUCGAGUAAGCUUACUCAAGCGAAGCCACAAAGAUCUGUAAUCGGCGACCAUUGCUGCAGGUCCAAUGUGUCGAAGAGCCUGGUUAAUAAAAUAAUUUAUUAAGAAUUUGUUAAAGAAAUUAUUUUUAAUUGAACCAGACUUUUUGAAAACGUUCCGCAAGUAUAUUGGCUGUGUCACUUAAAGCUUCGCAUGAUAAAAACCACCAAGCUCCAAGCAUUGCCGUUAAAUUAUCCAAAAUACAAUAAGGUACAACCUAGAAAGUGUCAAAGGAAGUAUUAUAUUCUUUUUGACCGAUAAAAUAGAAAAAUAAAGCAAAACUAGAACAAAAACAAGUCCCUCAAUUCGAUGAGAAUCAACAAGAACGAAUAUUUUCAUUUUUGUAUAAAUCAUUGAAUAUGAAAGAAAUUUUAUAUUUUUUCUACUCUAAAUGGGUAAAUUUAACAUUUUAACUAAAAUAACAGAAUUACCUGCAUUAUAUGAAAGUCAGCCAUAGUGACUGGAACACUAUGGCCAGAUAUUUGAUAAUAAAGAAUCUGAAAUGAAUGUUUAAACAAUAAAGUUUUAGUUUCUCUAUAAAAAAAAAUUAAUUUCACCUCAAAAUCAUUCCAAUCAUUCAAU
Molecule: long non-coding RNA, 1109 nt
Organism: Episyrphus balteatus (marmalade hoverfly)
Lineage: Eukaryota; Metazoa; Arthropoda; Insecta; Diptera; Syrphidae
Exons: 3
Source: RefSeq, a predicted model, not a curated record